Molecule: non-coding RNA, 87 nt
Organism: Planctomycetes bacterium GWF2_42_9
Lineage: Bacteria; Pseudomonadati; Planctomycetota
Source: Rfam
GGAGGAGUGGCUGAGCGGCUGAUAGCGACGGUCUUGAAAACCGUUGUACCAGUGAUGGUACCGGGGGUUCGAAUCCCUCCUCCUCCG